This 76-nucleotide non-coding RNA is filed under the name unclassified sequences. RNAcentral's name for it is "DUF3800-IX RNA". It matches the Rfam family "DUF3800-IX RNA". From Rfam's summary of the family: Actinobacteria, Firmicutes (1 example), Nitrospirae, Proteobacteria, Verrucomicrobia (1 example). Nearby to DUF3800 The record is from Rfam by way of RNAcentral.
UCCCGCCUCGCGAAAAGUCGCUGUUUGUGGCGGCCUGUCCUGGCUCUCGCCGGAUGGACUAGCGAGGCGGGUUGGU